AAACAAACAAACAAACAAACAAACAAACAAACAAACAAACAAACAAACAAACAAACAAACAAACAAACAAACAAACAAACAAACAAACAAACAAAAAACAAACAAAUAAAAUCCAUUUGCGCAGGUUAUUAUUAACAAAGUGAUUGAAGAAAUAAAGUAUUACGAGGAGGAAAAAGAAAAUUCGGAACACGUCAAAAAAAAUAACAAGGAACAGUAUUUAGAUUUAUUUGGGGUCAUUCGUUCAAGUAAACGUGUAGACAAUGAAGUUAAAAUUGAAAAUGAAGGUUUUUUUUGUAUAUCUGAUUAUUCCUUAUUUAAAGAUACUGUAAAUGUUUUGUGGAAAACUUUAAACAAAAUUUGUUAUACCUUAAUACUUUUUACGCAUGAAAAUAUUCUCCUGGCUAACCAUUUCUUAACCAUAUUCAUAAAUGCAUUGAAAGAGCACCAGGAUAAAAAAAAAAAGAUAACCAAACAAAAUAUGAACACAUUUAAUCCGGACACAAUUUUGGCAACACUUUAUUUCUUUUUACCAAAAGGACAUCUGAUGCUUAUAAGUCAUAGUUACGCAAAAUUUCUAAAUAACGAAGUUGUGAAUUUUAUAGAAAAUAAAUCACAAUUAAAAAAUAAUAACCACAAACAUAUAUAAAAUAGGACAAAAACACAGUUCCGUUUAAAAAAUUGUAAGGCUAUUUAUGAAAAGAUCAAUAUAGGUUGUAACAAAAAUAAAAAGAAUUUAGUUGUAUUUGUUUUUACCUUA
Molecule: long non-coding RNA, 757 nt
Filed under: Piliocolobus tephrosceles (Ugandan red Colobus)
Lineage: Eukaryota; Metazoa; Chordata; Mammalia; Primates; Cercopithecidae
Description: lncRNA (ENSPTEG00000009050.1)
Source: RNAcentral